RNAcentral lists this ribosomal RNA (389 nucleotides) under uncultured bacterium. RNAcentral describes it as "bacterial SSU rRNA". It matches the Rfam family "Bacterial small subunit ribosomal RNA", at positions 28 to 419 of the family's 1533-position model. The record is from RNAcentral.
GACGAACGCUGGCGGCGUGCUUAACACAUGCAAGUCGAACGGCAGCAUAAUUUGUAGCAAUACAAAUGGAUGGCGAGUGGCGGACGGGUGAGUAACACGUAGGAAUCUGCCCUAAAGAGGGGGAUAACCCGAGGAAACUCGGGCUAAUACCGCAUAAUCUCUGAGGAGAAAAGCUGGGGUAACCUGGCGCUUUAGGAGGAGCCUGCGUCUGAUUAGCUAGUUGGUGGGGUAAAGGCCACCAAGGCGACGAUCAGUAGCUGGUCUGAGAGGAUGAUCAGCCACACUGGGACUGAGACACGGCCCAGACUCCUACGGGAGCAGCAGUGGGGAAUAUUGGACAAUGGGGGCAACCCUGAUCCAGCAAUACCGCGUGUGUGAAGAAGGCCUGG